CAUGACUCCUGUUCAAACUUACUUCCCAGAAAUCUUAGGCAGCUUGCCAUGGUCGAUGGAGCACCAUGGACAUUCUCUGAAGGCUGCUAGCCAGGAGACUCAAGAAGAAAUUGUUAAAAAGGAGAACUAUCCAAACAUUGUCCUCUCCCUUUGCAGCCUCAACAGGAAAGAAAACUCAGGGGUAAGUAAUAAUAGGUACUCUGUGUGUUGGAACACUCUUAAGAAGGGUAUUGUCUGGACUGAGGAGUUGCGGCUUUGGCUACACACUUAGUGAACCGAGGUCUGCGAGGUUCAAGUUCAGAGAAAUGGAUUUCUGCCACUGCAGACUCAUUAGAGCUGAUGCUAUCACAGUGCUAAAAGGAAAACCUUAUGUUCACCUCCGGGCUGCCAAGUGUCCAGCUGCCAUCCGCAUCAGCACUAGCAAAGAAUGCUCUGAAUUUGGGCUAGCGCAAACAUAGCCAGAGCCAGGUUAGUCAAUGAGCCUAAUCAUGAUAAUGCUAAUAAUAGCAAACCUUUAUUGAGCCCUAACUGUGAGCCAGGACUGCUGAGAGCAGUCUGUGUGCAUCGCCCCGUGUAAUCCUCACUGCUCUAGUCAUGAAGCUGUUAGGAGGACUGUUUUGCAUGUAAGAAAUGAGGCUCGGACAGGUGAAGUCAUUUGUCUGUGAUCACUGAGCUGGAGAGCAGUAGACCUGGAUUUUGCACUCAGAUCUGCUGAAUGCUGUUUCCCAGAACCCUACUGUGUGACUUUUCUGCCUUUGAAGUCCAGUCUCUCUGCAGGGUGCUUGGGAUGUGACUCAGAGCCUAUCAUCCCACGUACUUUUGCUCUGGCCCUACCAGUUCAGACUCCACUCUCUGCACAUUCUAAGAUUCUUUCAUUUUGCUCAUUUCUUGUGCCUUUAAGGUACUUUUCCUUUCUCCUGGUAGACCGAGUCUAUCAUCCACAUCAUCCAUUCAUUCUCCGUGUAGAUGUCACAUCCUUUGUGAAUCCUUCCUCAGCUAUCUCCUCCCAACUCUUGACCUCCCAAAGUGCUCCCUCAACCCCCAAGUUCAUAUUUUAGCCUAGAGGUCAGCAAACCAUGGCCAAAUCUGGCCCGCUGACUGGUUUUGCCUUGCCCUGAGCUAAAAAUAGUCUUUGUAUUUAAAAUAAAUUUUUAAGAAAUCUUUUCA
This 1167-nucleotide long non-coding RNA is filed under the name Sus scrofa (pig). Its description in RNAcentral is "lncRNA (ENSSSCG00015007288.1)". The record is from RNAcentral. Lineage: Eukaryota; Metazoa; Chordata; Mammalia; Artiodactyla; Suidae.